AGGGAAUCUUCGGCAAUGGGGGCAACCCUGACCGAGCAACGCCGCGUGAGUGAAGAAGGUUUUCGGAUCGUAAAGCUCUGUUGUAAGUCAAGAACGGGUGUGAGAGUGGAAAGUUCACACUGUGACGGUAGCUUACCAGAAAGGGACGGCUAACUACGUGCCAGCAGCCGCGGUAAUACGUAGGUCCCGAGCGUUGUCCGGAUUUAUUGGGCGUAAAGCGAGCGCAGGCGGUUUGAUAAGUCUGAAGUUAAAGGCUGUGGCUCAACCAUAGUUCGCUUUGGAAACUGUCAAACUUGAGUGCAGAAGGGGAGAGUGGAAUUCCAUGUGUAGCGGUGAAAUGCGUAGAUAUAUGGAGGAACACCGGUGGCGAAAGCGGCUCUCUGGUCUGUAACUGACGCUGAGGCUCGAAAGCGUGGGGAGCGAACAGGAUUAGAUACCCUGGUAGUCCACGCCGUAAACGAUGAGUGCUAGGUGUUGGAUCCUUUCCGGGAUUCAGUGCCGAAGCUAACGCAUUAAGCACUCCGCCUGGGGAGUACGACCGCAAGGUUG
This 549-nucleotide ribosomal RNA is filed under the name uncultured bacterium. RNAcentral describes it as "bacterial SSU rRNA". It matches the Rfam family "Bacterial small subunit ribosomal RNA", at positions 356 to 896 of the family's 1533-position model. The record is from RNAcentral.